This 492-nucleotide ribosomal RNA is filed under the name uncultured bacterium. Its description in RNAcentral is "partial 16S ribosomal RNA". It matches the Rfam family "Bacterial small subunit ribosomal RNA", at positions 29 to 507 of the family's 1533-position model. The record is from RNAcentral.
AGUGAACGCUGGCGGUAGGCCUAACACAUGCAAGUCGAACGGCAGCACAGUAAGAGCUUGCUCUUACGGGUGGCGAGUGGCGGACGGGGGAGGAAUACAUCGGAAUCUACUUUUUCGUGGGGGAUAACGUAGGGAAACUUACGCUAAUACCGCAUACGACCUACGGGUGAAAGCAGGGGAUCUUCGGACCUUGCGCGAGUGAAUGAGCCGAUGUCGGAUUAGCUAGUUGGCGGGGUAAAGGCCCACCAAGGCGACGAUCCGUAGCUGGUCUGAGAGGAUGAUCAGCCACACUGGAACUGAGACACGGUCCAGACUCCUACGGGAGGCAGCAGUGGGGAAUAUUGGACAAUGGGCGCAAGCCUGAUCCAGCCAUGCCGCGUGGGUGAAGAAGGCCUUCGGGUUGUAAAGCCCUUUUGUUGGGAAAGAAAAGCAGCAGGUUAAUACCCCGCUGUUCUGACGGUACCCAAAGAAUAAGCACCGGCUAACUUCGUG